GAUGAAGAACGUAGCGAAAUGCGAUAAGUAAUGUGAAUUGCAGAAUUCAGUGAAUCAUCGAAUCUUUGAACGCACAUUGCGCCCCUUGGUAUUCCGAGGGGCAUACCUGUUCGAGCGUCAUUAUAACCCCUCAAGCUCAGCUUGGUGUUGGGGCCUGCUGCACUGGCAGCCCUUAAAAUCAGUGGCGGCGCCAUCUGGCUCUAAGCGUAGUAAUUCUUCUCGCUAUGGAGUCCUGGUGGAUGCUUGCCAUCAACCCCCAAUUUUUCUAUGGUUGACCUCGGAUCAGGUAGGGAUACCCGCUGAACUUAAGCAUAUCAAUAAGCGGAGGA
This 329-nucleotide unclassified non-coding RNA is filed under the name soil metagenome. RNAcentral's name for it is "partial contains 5.8S ribosomal RNA, internal transcribed spacer 2, and large subunit ribosomal RNA". The stretch from base 1 to 120 matches the Rfam family "5.8S ribosomal RNA", at positions 35 to 154 of the family's 154-position model. The record is from RNAcentral.